AGAAACUCGAUAGUACUCGCUCGCGUGGGUUUGGAAAAGGCUGCCAGGAGUCAUGUCGCAUUUAAUUGCGGACGAGGUGACGUGGCAGAAAUCCCCCCCUCCAUUUGAAUUUCAAACCGACGGUUACGGGAUUCUCGGAAUAUGCGUCAUUAAAUGCUGGCAGCCCAAGAGUUUGCUUCUCAGUAAGGAAACCCAAAAUCUUCAAACACGAACUCGUCAUUUUCUCC
Molecule: long non-coding RNA, 227 nt
Filed under: Citrus sinensis (sweet orange)
Lineage: Eukaryota; Viridiplantae; Streptophyta; Magnoliopsida; Sapindales; Rutaceae
Description: long non-coding RNA (CSIN_LNC000012)
Source: RNAcentral